Molecule: transfer RNA, 70 nt
Filed under: Marmota monax (woodchuck)
Lineage: Eukaryota; Metazoa; Chordata; Mammalia; Rodentia; Sciuridae
Description: tRNA.Ala
Source: RNAcentral
GCAUGUGGUUCAGUGGUAGAGUGUUUGCCUAGCAUAUAUGAGGCCCUGGGUUCACAUUCCCAGCUCUGCA